GGAGUAAUAGCUCAGUGGUAGAGCACAUGCUUAGCAUGCAUGAGGUCCUGGGUUCAAUCCCCAGUACCUCCA
This 72-nucleotide transfer RNA is filed under the name Camelus bactrianus (Bactrian camel). It matches the Rfam family "tRNA". From Rfam's summary of the family: Transfer RNA (tRNA) molecules are approximately 80 nucleotides in length. Their secondary structure includes four short double-helical elements and three loops (D, anti-codon, and T loops). Lineage: Eukaryota; Metazoa; Chordata; Mammalia; Artiodactyla; Camelidae. The record is from Rfam by way of RNAcentral. RNAcentral also lists the same sequence under 2 other names.